This 64-nucleotide transfer RNA is filed under the name Phygasia gracilicornis. Its description in RNAcentral is "tRNA-Leu". The record is from RNAcentral. Lineage: Eukaryota; Metazoa; Arthropoda; Insecta; Coleoptera; Chrysomelidae.
UCUAAUGUGGCAGAUUAGUGCAAUGGAUUUAAACCCCAAACAUAAAGAUUAUCUUUUUUUAGAA